AUUGCAUUUGGGGUUCAAGGGUGUUAUAGCCAUGCCCGAAGUCGUUACCUUAACCGCAAGGAGGGGGAUGCCGAAGGCAGGGCUAGUGACUGGAGUGAAGUCGUAACAAGGUAGUCGUACUGGAAGGUGCGACCA
RNAcentral lists this non-coding RNA (135 nucleotides) under Medicago truncatula (barrel medic). The record is from Rfam by way of RNAcentral. Lineage: Eukaryota; Viridiplantae; Streptophyta; Magnoliopsida; Fabales; Fabaceae.